RNAcentral lists this ribosomal RNA (159 nucleotides) under uncultured bacterium. Its description in RNAcentral is "partial 16S ribosomal RNA". It matches the Rfam family "Bacterial small subunit ribosomal RNA", at positions 355 to 509 of the family's 1533-position model. The record is from RNAcentral.
UGAGGAAUAUUGGUCAAUGGGCGGGAGCCUGAACCAGCCAAGUCGCGUGAGGGAAGACGGUCCUAUGGAUUGUAAACCUCUUUUGUCGGGGAGCAAAGAGGCCACGUGUGGUCAAAAGCGAGAGUACCCGAAGAAAAAGCAUCGGCUAAACUCCGUGCC